Molecule: long non-coding RNA, 1766 nt
Filed under: Cottoperca gobio
Lineage: Eukaryota; Metazoa; Chordata; Actinopteri; Perciformes; Bovichtidae
Description: lncRNA (ENSCGOG00000000980.1)
Source: RNAcentral
GAUCUCCAGACACAGGUGAGUUCACGGCAUCAUGGCUUCCACUCAGGUGCUCCUGCUUCAGCUGCUCCUGCUCUCUUUGGCGUCUGCAUCACAUCACUUUGGGGGAACCGCGACCUUCACCUACAAAGGAAGAAACCCUGAUGGAACAUUAAGAGUGGACAUUCGCAGCAGGGCAACCUUUGAUGGGUGUAGGCACCGCCACAGGUGGAACUGUUACACCGGCUCGUGUGGCUCAAUCUCCAGCACUCAGAGCGGCGUACUUGACAGGAGCACCAACGCUCCACAAUAUAACAGGCAAUGGUGUGAAACUGAAACAGUCACUUCAAGAAAUGUCCCGAAUGACAAACCUUUUCAAUUGAGGUGAGCUUUUUGUUAUUUGUUAUGCUUGUAUCAUGAUAAAAGUAUCAGCUGUUAGAUACAGUAUUUGAAGAGUGUUGUUUUCACACAUACCAGGGCAAGAAGCUGUUGUUGGAUCCGAACACGUAACGGGGUUAAUUUUUGGAAUCUACUGACUCAACUGGAUUUGGGAUCAAGAUCUGACACUGGAAAACCAAACAGAUCACCAGAUAUUGCCAUUCUACCUUUCCUACGAGUUCCCCAGAACUGCCAACGGACAUACAAGCUGAUGUCCUCUGACCCUGAUGGCGACAAAGUUCGAUGCAGAUAUGGAAGUAUCAGAAAUAUAGAAUGUUCCAACUGUAACCUACCUUCAGGCUUCGUGUUAGAUCAGGACUCUUGCUUAUUACACUACCGCUACACCAAUGCCAACCCAAGAGUUAAUGCAUUUGAGUUGGUGGUGGAGGACUUCCCACAAAGACCCAUCUCUCUGUCCUACUCUGAUGGAACCCAAUCCCACAAGUCUCCACUGAGUGCAAGGAGGAACAGACGAGCCAUAAACCACGGGUCUACUGCAGCACCAACAACUGUAGCACCAACAACAGCAGCACCAACAACUGCAGCACCAACAACUGUAGCACCAACAACUGUAGCACCAACAACAGCAGCACCAACAACUGUAGCACCAACAACUGUAGCACCAACAACUGUAGCACCAACAACUGCAGCACCAACAACUGUAGCACCAACAACAGCAGCACCAACAACUGUAGCACCAACAACUGUAGCACCAACAACAGCAGCACCAACAACUGUAGCACCAACAACUGUAGCACCAACAACAGCAGCACCAACAACAGCAGCACCAACAACUGUAGCACCAACAACUGUAGCACCAACAACAGCAGCAGCAACAACUGUAGCACCAACAACUGUAGCACCAACAACAGCAGCACCAACAACUGUAGCACCAACAACUGUAGCACCAACAACUGUAGCAGCAACAACUGUAGCACCAACAACAGCAGCACCAACACACCAAUGGUGGUGGUCUACAGCAGCACCAAGAACUGUAGCACCAACACACCAAUGGUGGUGGUUUACUGCAGCACCAACAACAGCAGCACCAACAACUGUAGCACCAACACACCAAUGGUGGUGGUCUACAGCAGCACCAAGAACUGUAGCACCAACACACCAAUGGUGGUGGUUUACUGCAGCACCAACAACAGCAGCACCAACAACUGUAGCACCAACACACCAAUGGUGGUGGUCUACAGCAGCACCAAGAACUGUAGCACCAACACACCAAUGGUGGUGGUUUAAUGCAGCACCAACAACUGUAGCACCAACAACUGUAGCACCAACAACUGCAGCACCACCAUCAGCAGCACUACCCCUGCAUGCCUCCAGUCCUCCUCUCAGUAAAC